GGUUUCACAACGCACGUCUCUUGACUGAGUAACUACGCAGUGUUGUCAUUAUUUUGCGUUGUGAAUUUUAUGGUAGUGUGGUGCAAACGUUGCCGUGAAUAGCCAGUGGUGAGUGGAACUGACGGGCAGCUGCCGGAGAGACGUAAUAUUCUCUGCCUGUUUGUCUCUGUGACGGACGCCGGCGACACCAGUGCAAGAGACAUGACGCUUGCGUUUGUAGCUGUGGAUGUGAAUACAGAUAAAUAGUGGAUGCCAGAUUGUAGUAACACGCACAUCGAACAGAUCCUCUAAAUUUAUUCUGGUCAUACUGAGACGAGUUUGGCGGUGAACUCCGCGCCUCACGUCAGCCGAUGAAAAGAAAGACCAUAACAUGCAUCUGAAAUCUAUCCACGUCGCACACCAUAUUGAAAACUGAGGUACUUCAUUCGUUUAGAGUGUGCAACAGUGAAGCUUUAAGAAAUAAGUGUUGUUAACCACUGGAAACGUUAUGUAAAACUGCCGGAACAUACAAGAGAUUGAUGGCAGUCCAUUGAGAGGGCUCUGCUCCCUUCUGCACCUCUCUGGGCUGCAUCAGGAGGAGAUUAAGCAACUGCCACUACCACCACCACCACCACCACCACCACCACCACCACCACUGCUACUAUUACUGUAUGUCUGAAAGUAUGUGUCGAGUGGAUAUAGUGAGACAUUGAAGAGCACAAAGUUUGUGAAACAAUAGAAAGGUCAGUAGUCUGUCCUUUUGUUGUUUUUAUGAUCCUAUUUCAGCUAUGUCGAGAUUUGGCCAAAUGAUGUUGAGAAAUGUAGUGUGCAGUCAUCUGUGUAGGAUCGGAUAUGGCAAGAAGUUUCAGCGGAGAUCAUUUAAGAAUGGCCGGAUUAGGAUUGUUGAUAAGAUAAAGAUUUAUGGAACACCUCGGUUUGUGGGUUUAGGAGAGAAACUAUGGCAGAGUACACUGCGAAAAUAGAGUAACCAGAAAGAAGACUUAGGAUAAGGGAGCAAUAAGCUAGGCAGGAACUAUAUGAGGGGGAGAUCAGAAAUUAAAGAUGGCAAGACAACAUCAAAGUUUCUACCGUAAUUCCGAAGACAAAAUCCGCCAAAGAUAUAAAGGAAAGGUAGAAGAUCGCUAUAGAUCAUUCUUCAUAUAAUCAAUAUUAAAAAUGAGAAAGGGUGUAAGCAAAAACACCAAUAGUUUGCAGAACAUGAACAAUCACCCUUAUCAGAAACAGAUUGAAUGUAGGCAAACUUCCUGGAAGAAGUGAAAUGUUGAUGUUGACAGACAAAAAGGGGGAAAAAGAAAGUUGAGAGGCAUCAGCACACCUCGUGUUUGUGAAUGUCGAAUAGC
Portunus trituberculatus (swimming crab) is the source of this 1340-nucleotide long non-coding RNA. RefSeq lists it as uncharacterized. The record is from RefSeq and is a predicted model, not a curated record. Lineage: Eukaryota; Metazoa; Arthropoda; Malacostraca; Decapoda; Portunidae. The transcript has 3 exons.